GCGAAUACCGGAGAAUGUUAUCACGGGAGACACACGGCGGGUGCUAACGUCCGUCGUGAAGAGGGAAACAACCCAGACCGCCAGCUAAGGUCCCAAAGUCAUGGUUAAGUGGGAAACGAUGUGGGAAGGCCCAGACAGCCAGGAUGUUGGCUUAGAAGCAGCCAUCAUUUAAAGAAAGCGUAAUAGCUCACUGGUCGAGUCGGCCUGCGCGGAAGAUGUAACGGGGCUAAACCAUGCACCGAAGCUGCGGCAGCGACACUGAUGUGUUGUUGGGUAGGGGAGCGUUCUGUAAGCCGUUGAAGGUGGCCUGUGAGGGUUGCUGGAGGUAUCAGAAGUGCGAAUGCUGACAUAAGUAACGAUAAAGCGGGUGAAAAGCCCGCUCGCCGGAAGACCAAGGGUUCCUGUCCAACGUUAAUCGGGGCAGGGUGAGUCGACCCCUAAGGCGAGGCCGAAAGGCGUAGUCGAUGGGAAACGGGUUAAUAUUCCCGUACUUGGUGUUACUGCGAAGGGGGGACGGAGAAGGCUAUGUUGGCCGGGCGACGGUUGUCCCGGUUUAAGCGUGUAGGUGUGUGUUCCAGGUAAAUCCGGUU
RNAcentral lists this ribosomal RNA (590 nucleotides) under Salmonella enterica subsp. enterica serovar Baguida. RNAcentral describes it as "partial 23S ribosomal RNA". It matches the Rfam family "Bacterial large subunit ribosomal RNA", at positions 956 to 1547 of the family's 2925-position model. The record is from RNAcentral. Lineage: Bacteria; Pseudomonadati; Pseudomonadota; Gammaproteobacteria; Enterobacterales; Enterobacteriaceae.